AGAGUUUGAUUCUGGCUCAGGAUGAACGCUGGCGGCGUGCUUAACACAUGCAAGUCGAACGAAGCAUUUAAAACAGAUUAUUUCGGUAUGAAGUUUUUUAUGACUGAGUGGCGGACGGGUGAGUAACGCGUGGGUAACCUGCCUUGUACUGGGGGAUAGCAGCUGGAAACGGCUGGUAAUACCGCAUAAGCGCACGAUGUCGCAUGACAUAGUGUGAAAAACUCCGGUGGUAUAAGAUGGACCCGCGUCUGAUUAGCUAGUUGGUGAGAUAACAGCCCACCAAGGCGACGAUCAGUAGCCGACCUGAGAGGGUGACCGGCCACAUUGGGACUGAGACACGGCCCAG
Molecule: ribosomal RNA, 346 nt
Filed under: uncultured bacterium
Lineage: Bacteria
Description: bacterial SSU rRNA
Rfam family: Bacterial small subunit ribosomal RNA
Source: RNAcentral